Long non-coding RNA from Carassius auratus (goldfish), 1953 nucleotides. The record is from Ensembl. NCBI's taxonomy places the organism in Eukaryota, Metazoa, Chordata, Actinopteri, Cypriniformes, Cyprinidae.
AUGGCUAAAGCCAGGGUCUCACCUACAAAGGUCAUAAGCAUUCCCAGGUUAGAACUCUCAGCCGCUGUCAUAUCUGCCAGAAUGAGUGUCAUGCUGAAAAAUGAGCUGGAAAUGAAGACUGACCAAGAGUUCUUCUGGACAGACUCGCAGGUCGUUUUAGCAUACAUUAACAACGAAGCCCGUAGGUUUCAUGUUUUUGUCGCAAAUCGAGUGCAGCUGAUACGAGAUGUCACAGAUCCUAGUCAGUGGUGUUACGUAAAUACAACAGAUAACCCUGCUGAUUAUGCAUCUAGAGGGCUUAAUGCGUCUGCCAUCUCUACAUCAAUGUGGUUAUCAGGACCCAAAUUCCUGUGGGAACAGGAAGUAAAUGCAACACCAUACACACCUGUGAACCUGCUUGUCGGUGAUCCUGAAGUUAAAUUAGUCCAAACCUUUGUGACCUCCGUCAGAGACGGAGCAGACAUCCUCAGUCGCUUAAGUCGAUUCUCUUCUUGGUCUAUGCUUCUAAGGGUGGUUGCAAGAAUAAACAGAUUGGGCCACAAACAGAUGUACAACGGUGAUCAUGUGACAGUUGAAGAACGUGAGAGAGCUGCUAAGGUGGUCUUCAAGCUUGUACAGCAGCAAGCAUUCUCAAAGCAAAUGCAAAUAAUUGAAAGAGGAGAAGCUCUACCAAAUUCAAGCGCACUGUACCCUCUGGAUCCUAUUUUGGACAAUGGCAUCCUCCGUGUUGGUGGGAGGCUAAAACACUCAUUUCUCAGUCAAGAUCUAAAACAUCCUGUAAUACUUCCAAAAGGUAACCACAUCACUAAACUAAUUCUGUCACAUUACCACACCAAAGUUCGUCACCAGGGAAGAAGCCAAACUCAAAUGGAGUUAAGAAUGAAUGGAUUCUGGAUCAUUGGAGGCAGUAAGUCCGUCGCUAAAUUCAUACACAAGUGUGUGCAGUGUCGGAAACUCAGACGACCAGCUGAAGAACAGCGUAUGGCAGAACUUCCCAGAGAACGUGUUGAGGUUUCCGCUCCAUUCACGUACUGUGGUAUGGACUGUUUCGGGCCAUUUAUUGUGAAGAGAGCUCGUAAGGAGCUUAAGAGAUAUGGCCUAUUAUUCACUUGUCUAUCAUCUCGUGCAGUCCAUAUUGAAAUGAUUGAGGACCUAUCUACAGACUCCUUUAUCAAUGCCCUAAGGUGCUUUAUCAGCCUCAGAGGAGUUGUUCGCAAACUUCAGUGUGACCACGGCACUAACUUUGUUGGAGCUAAAAAUGAAUUCGCAAAAUCACUGAAAGAGAUUGACACCAACGCCUUAGAGAUCUUUCUUACAGAAAGGCAAUGCGAGUUUAUCUUUAAUGCUCCUUCUGCAAGCCAUGCUGGAGGUGUCUGGGAGUGUCAGAUACGUACUGUGCGAAAUGUACUCAAUGCCACACUUGCUUUAUGCCCAGGCAGGCUUGAUGACGCAUCACUCAGAACGCUGUUCUAUGAAGCAAUGGCCAUUGUAAACAGCCGCCCUCUAACGGUAGAUGGAAUUAAUGAUCCAAAUUCACUCGAACCAUUGACCCCAAACCAUCUGAUAAUGAUGAAAUCUGAUGUUGCUCUUCCACCUCCAGGAAAGUUUGUAAAACAAGAUGUGUAUGCCACUAAAAGAUGGCGCAGAGUUCAAUACCUAAUCGAACAAUUUUGGAGUCGUUGGAAGAAGGAAUACCUUCUCAACAUUGCAGCACGUCAGAAAUGGCAUAUUCCUCGCCGUAACCUUCAAGUGAAUGAUGUUGUAAUCAAAGACGAUAUGCUUCCCAGAGGUCAGUGGCAAUUAGGCCGCGUGGUGGAAACCAGUAAAGGAAGUGAUGGUCUUGUAAGGCGAGUUAAGUUGCAGUUAGGGGAGCGAAAACAAAAUCAAUGCUCCAAGCCCACAGUCAUUGAAAGGCCCAUCCAAAAAUUGGUGGUACUUAUUGAAAAUGAGUAA